Molecule: ribosomal RNA, 254 nt
Filed under: uncultured bacterium
Lineage: Bacteria
Description: partial 16S ribosomal RNA
Rfam family: Bacterial small subunit ribosomal RNA
Source: RNAcentral
UACAGGGGGGUGCAAACGUUGCUCGGAAUUAUUGGGCGUAAAGCGCGCGUAGGCGGUGACUCAAGUCGGAUGUGAAAGCCCUUGGCUUAACCGAGGAAGUGCAUCCGAAACUGAGUCGCUAGAGUACGAUAGAGGGUCGCGGAAUUCCCGGUGUAGAGGUGAAAUUCGUAGAUAUCGGGAGGAACACCGGUGGCGAAGGCGGCGACCUGGGUCGAUACUGACGCUGAGGCGCGAAAGCGUGGGGAGCAAACAGG